RNAcentral lists this non-coding RNA (30 nucleotides) under Mus musculus (house mouse). The record is from RNAcentral. Lineage: Eukaryota; Metazoa; Chordata; Mammalia; Rodentia; Muridae.
UAUUUCUACAUUAAAAAAAUAACCAACAGC